GUGUGGGACUUUGUGCAUCUGCUCUACUGCCAAGCUGUACUGCUGUCUAUGGAAAAGUCAUCUCAGUCAGAAGAGCUUUGAAAUCAUCACAUUGAAAGAUUCUGCCAUCAGACUGGACAGCCCAUCACAGAAUCCAUUAUAAAAUGUCCAGGAGGGCGUGGGCAGCCAGUGGCCGAGAGAAGUAACAAUGAAAGUUGACCAGAUAAAGACCAAAGCUGAAGGACGUGUUUACUGGAUUGUUCAAGAUGACAGGACCGGAAACAUCUCAGUACGGACAUGCCCUUCAAGGGAAAUGGGAGUUCCAGGGAGUUGGCCCAGCCCAGG
Polypterus senegalus (gray bichir) is the source of this 324-nucleotide long non-coding RNA. RefSeq lists it as uncharacterized. The record is from RefSeq and is a predicted model, not a curated record. NCBI's taxonomy places the organism in Eukaryota, Metazoa, Chordata, Cladistia, Polypteriformes, Polypteridae. The transcript is spliced from 3 exons.